GCCUGCAUGGCAUAGUGGUUUGAGUGUUGGACUGCAACUCUGGAGAUCCUGGGUUCGAUUCACUGCUCAUCCA
Non-coding RNA from Phrynosoma platyrhinos (Desert horned lizard), 73 nucleotides. The record is from the annotation of a GenBank genome assembly. Lineage: Eukaryota; Metazoa; Chordata; Lepidosauria; Squamata; Phrynosomatidae.